AGCGAACGUUAGCGGCGCGCCUAACACAUGCAAGUCGCACGAGAAAGGGAGCAAUCCCCGGUACAGUGGCGCACGGGUGAGUAACACGUAGAUGACCUUCCCUGGAGUGGUGGAUAACCUGCCGAAAGGCGGGCUAAUACAGCAUGGGACCACAUGGUUUUGACCGAGUGGUGAAAGCGGGCCUCUGUUCACAAGCUCGCGCUCUGGGAUGGGUCUGCGUCCCAUCAGCUAGUUGGUGAGGUAAUGGCUCACCAAGGCAUCGACGGGUAGCUGGUCUGAGAGGAUGACCAGCCACACUGGAACUGAGACACGGUCCAGACUCCUACGGGAGGCAGCAGUGGGGAAUCUUGCGCAAUGGGCGAAAGCCUGACGCAGCGACGCCGCGUGGGUGAUGAAGGCCUGGUUGUAAGACCGUCGUGGGAGGGAACGGAACCGUAA
This 438-nucleotide ribosomal RNA is filed under the name uncultured bacterium. RNAcentral describes it as "bacterial SSU rRNA". It matches the Rfam family "Bacterial small subunit ribosomal RNA", at positions 29 to 457 of the family's 1533-position model. The record is from RNAcentral.